This 301-nucleotide ribosomal RNA is filed under the name uncultured bacterium. RNAcentral describes it as "partial 16S ribosomal RNA". It matches the Rfam family "Bacterial small subunit ribosomal RNA", at positions 509 to 807 of the family's 1533-position model. The record is from RNAcentral.
CAGCCGCCGCGGGAAAACGAAGGGGGCUAGCGUUGUUCGGAAUUACUGGGCGUAAAGCGCACGUAGGCGGACAUUUAAGUCAGGGGUGAAAUCCCGGGGCUCAACCCCGGAACUGCCUUUGAUACUGGGUAUCUCGAGUCCGGAAGAGGUGAGUGGAAUUCCGAGUGUAGAGGUGAAAUUCGUAGAUAUUCGCAGGAACACCAGUGGCGAAGGCGGCUAACUGGUCCAUAACUGACGCUGAGAUGCGAAAGCGUGGGGAGCAAACAGGAUUAGAGACCCGAGUAGUCCCUGUCUCUUAUAC